GCCUCUGUAGCUCAGUUGGUUAGAGCGCUGCAUCGGAAUCGCAGGGCCGUAGGUGCAAUUCCUACCAGAGGACA
Molecule: transfer RNA, 74 nt
Filed under: Paramuricea clavata
Lineage: Eukaryota; Metazoa; Cnidaria; Anthozoa; Malacalcyonacea; Plexauridae
Description: tRNA-Ser
Rfam family: tRNA
About the family: Transfer RNA (tRNA) molecules are approximately 80 nucleotides in length. Their secondary structure includes four short double-helical elements and three loops (D, anti-codon, and T loops). Further hydrogen bonds mediate the characteristic L-shaped molecular structure. tRNAs have two regions of fundamental functional importance: the anti-codon, which is responsible for specific mRNA codon recognition, and the 3' end, to which the tRNAs corresponding amino acid is attached (by aminoacyl-tRNA synthetases). tRNAs cope with the degeneracy of the genetic code in two manners: having more than one tRNA (with a specific anti-codon) for a particular amino acid; and 'wobble' base-pairing, i.e. permitting non-standard base-pairing at the 3rd anti-codon position.
Source: RNAcentral